GACGAACGCUGGCGGCGUGCUUAACACAUGCAAGUCGAACGGGCCUUGUCCCCUUUUUUUGGGGGUGGGGUUAGUGGCGACCGGGUGAGUAACACGUGAGUAACCUGCCCCUCACUUCUGGAUAACCGCUUGAAAGGGUGGCUAAUACGGGGUGUUCUGGCCUGCUCGCAUGGGUGGGUUUGGAAAGAUUCGACCGGUUUUGGUUGUUUUGGUGGGGGAUGGGCUCGCGGCCUAUCAGCUUGUUGGUGGGGUGAUGGCCUGCCAAGGCUUUGACGGGUAGCCGGCCUGAGAGGGUGGGCGGUCACACUGGGACUGAGACACGGCCCAGACUCCUACGGGAGGCAGCAGUGGGGAAUAUUGCACAAUGGGCGCAAGCCUGAUGCAGCGACGCCGCGUGAGGGAUGGAGGCCUUCGGGUUGUGAACCUCUUUCGCCAGUGAAGAAGGUCCUGCUCUUUGUGGUGGGGUUGACGGUAGCUGGGUUAAUGAAGCGCCGGCUAACUACGUG
RNAcentral lists this ribosomal RNA (506 nucleotides) under uncultured bacterium. RNAcentral describes it as "partial 16S ribosomal RNA". It matches the Rfam family "Bacterial small subunit ribosomal RNA", at positions 28 to 507 of the family's 1533-position model. The record is from RNAcentral.